Long non-coding RNA from Myotis lucifugus (little brown bat), 524 nucleotides. RefSeq lists it as uncharacterized. The transcript has 2 exons. The record is from RefSeq and is a predicted model, not a curated record. Lineage: Eukaryota; Metazoa; Chordata; Mammalia; Chiroptera; Vespertilionidae.
CUCCCUCACCAAGUCAUACACGCUGUGGAGAGCAGGAACCAUGUCUCACACUUCUAGAUCCCCCACAACUUCUGGCUUAAGACUUUGCACAUGGCAGAAGCGAGAUUUGUUAGAUAAGUGAACAGACGUGUCCGCAUGGUGUCUGUGGGCAUGAUGGAGUGGGCAGGGGGCAGGCGGGGAGUUUUAGAGAGCGGAGAAACUUGAGGAGACCAUGUCUUCAACCGUGUCAGCAUUUACAACCAGGAAACUCCCAUCAUUCAGGCCGACCGCGAGGGCUUUCCCAUCGGGGGAGAAGGCACAGCAUCUUCCACCUGCAAACGAACUCACAACACCACGCUCGUUAGGCCUGACUUGACUACCCAACAACCAAGGGGAAAGCGGGAGAGACCUGCGUGUGCGCUGACACAUGAACGUGGGCUGUGUCUUUAGCGCUGCUCGUGAGAAGAACUAAAACGACAUCAUUUAAUCAUCUCUUCCCUCCAAACCCAAGGACAGUGAUCACCAUGGUAAACACACAUUUUCAA